UACAUUAAGACUGGAAAAGAAUGGCCCAGAUCCUCUGGACUCCUCAGAUGAGCGGAUUCAGAGAGAAGCUUUUGAGAGCGUGCUGGCGGAGACAUUUUUCACAAAAGAGCCCUUGCGGUGCUGGUGUCCGUGGCGUGCCUGGGUGGAAAAUGAGCUUAUAUAUGAAGAAGUCAGCGAGUGGACAAAGCCAGGCGCAAUGGAUAGCAAAGAUGUGGAAGUCUCCUCGAUUCAAGUUACAAGAAAACCGCAGCAUGGAGUCUGCUCUCAGCUGUUGGGGAAUUACCGAUGCCUUUGACUAAGUCAAGACUGACUUUUCCAGAAUAUCACCCAAGAGAUAGAGCCGUCCCUGUCCAAGUUUGUGCGCUAGCCCUUCAUGGAGGUCAGAGAGGAAGAAACAAAGGCAGCUGUGGCCUCGGCGGUCACAGUGUCAGAACGCACAAGCCCCAUAAAGAGGUUUCACGCAGGCCACCCAUCCCUUUUCAUUCUCCAGCAGAACAGGACAGAGAGCGUUCUGUUCUGCGGAAGGUCUUCCACUCUACAAGGCAAUCCCUCCAGCUGCUUUGCUGUAUUGUGCUGUCUCCUGUCACACUAUGAAUGCAGUGACCUCAGCCAGCAACAGGGAGAACCCCCCUGCCUCCCGAACAAAGGACCUCACGUGAAAUCCUGAGCUCAGAGCUUACAGAUAUGUGUGCGCUUUCACUUUACAUCGGCCGUGACUUCCAAACAACUUCAGGAAACUUUAGGAUCUCUGAGGUAUACUGGAGAUGACAGCAGCGUAGAAUGUUCAUUUGGAUUUAGAACAGAAAUGCUUAUUUUAUAUUUGGCUGCUCCCAAACUGUCCCCAGACUUCCUCUCCAGUGGUUACCCUCCACUGCCCUGGAUGUCCCACGUUUACACUCCACACUCACACCUCCACCUUAACAAAGUCCUCCACUGGGUCAAACCAUACAUCGCUUCGUCUCUGUAGUGAUGACUUCCUGUCCUCUGCUCUGUGGAUAAAGACCCCAGAUAAAGAUGCCUGUGUUGCUCAACUCUUGUAAAUACUCUUGAGACAUUUUGAAAGCAGAAGGAAAGGAGACAGACGGGGAAAAUAAAAGGGAUGGUCUGCUUGUGCGGAAACGUUUUGAGAAUGCCCUUCCCUAAGAGAGAACAGUAAAAGUGAGCAAUACUUCCUGAGCUGUGGGUUCAUAUGGCUGGACUGUGCUGUUUCUCACGGGAGAAGUUCUCGUCUCCCCUGCGUGUACAUCCCUGUUUGCCAGCCUGGCCUUCGGUGUGGUGAUAUCAUGGUGCACUCCCAGGAGGGAAGUGCUUGGUCAAGACUUCUGCUUGGGUUCGACUAUCAGUUCUGGUUUCCUUUAAGGCACAGGAUCUUCCCUUUAAGGCACAAACACCCCCUUGACACAAAGUAAGGGACAAGGGAACUUUAAACCAUUUGGAAACCCAAGCACAAUAGGCUGUAGGUUGUAAAAAGAAAUUACAAAGGUAAUUUUAUCCAGAAGAGGGAGCAGUUUAACUUCUGCAGGGUAAGAUUCAGAUUCACUUUUGUAACUGAACAGGGAAUUUUCUAAAUAUUUUGAAAAUGCCGAAA
RNAcentral lists this long non-coding RNA (1588 nucleotides) under Homo sapiens (human). RNAcentral's name for it is "HSALNT0331774". Lineage: Eukaryota; Metazoa; Chordata; Mammalia; Primates; Hominidae. The record is from RNAcentral.